CAGUCGCCGCGGUAAUACGAAGGGUGCAAGCGUUAAUCGGAAUUACUGGGCGUAAGCGUGCGUAGGCGGUUUGUUAAGUCUGUUGUGAGAUCCCCGGGCUCAACCUGGGAAUGGCAAUGGAUACUGGCAAGCUAGAGUGUGUCAGAGGAUGGUGGAAUUCCCGGUGUAGCGGUGAAAUGCGUAGAGAUCGGGAGGAACAUCAGUGGCGAAGGCGGCCAUCUGGGACAACACUGACGCUGAGGCACGAAAGCGUGGGGAGCAAACAGGAUUAGAUACCCGUGUAGUCCCUGUCUCUUAUACA
Molecule: ribosomal RNA, 301 nt
Filed under: uncultured bacterium
Lineage: Bacteria
Description: partial 16S ribosomal RNA
Rfam family: Bacterial small subunit ribosomal RNA
Source: RNAcentral